UUUCUGGUUGAUCCCGCCGGAGGUUACUGCUAUCGGUGUUCGCCUAAGCCAUGCGAGUCAUAUGUUCUUCGUGAACAUGGCGUACUGCUCAGUAGCACGUGGAUAACCUGCCCUUGGGUCUGGGAUAACCCCGGGAAACUGGGGAUAAUACCGGAUAACGCAUAUAUGCUGGAAUGCUUUAUGCGUAAAAUGGAUUCGUCUGCCCAAGGAUGGGUCCGCGGCCUAUCAGGUAGUAGUGGGUGUAAUGUACCUACUAGCCUACAACGGGUACGGGUUGUGAGAGCAAGAGCCCGGAGAUGGAUUCUGAGACAUGAAUCCAGGCCCUACGGGGCGCAGCAGGCGCGAAAACUUUACAAUGCGGGCAACCGUGAUAAGGGAACCUCGAGUGCCUGUAAAUGCAGGCUGUUUAGGUGUUUAAAACGCACCUGGAGAAAGGGCCGGGCAAGACCGGUGCCAGCCGCCGCGGUAAUACCGGCGGCUCGAGUGGUGGCCACUUUUAUUGGGCUUAAAGCGUUCGUAGCUGGGUUGUUAAGUCUCUUGGGAAAUCUGGCGGCUUAACCGUCAGGCGUCUAAGGGAUACUGGCAAUCUUGGAACCGGGAGAGGUGAGGGGUACUUCGGGGGUAGGAGUGAAAUCCUGUAAUCCUCGAGGGACCACCUGUGGCGAAGGCGCCUCACCAGAACGGCUUCGACAGUGAGGGACGAAAGCUGGGGGAGCAAACCGGAUUAGAUACCCGGGUAGUCCCAGCCGUAAACUAUGCGCGUUAGGUGUAUCGGUGACCACGAGUUACCGAGGUGCCGAAGGGAAACCGUGAAACGUGCCGCCUGGGAAGUACGGUCGCAAGGCUGAAACUUAAAGGAAUUGGCGGGAA
RNAcentral lists this ribosomal RNA (870 nucleotides) under uncultured archaeon. RNAcentral describes it as "bacterial SSU rRNA". It matches the Rfam family "Archaeal small subunit ribosomal RNA", at positions 1 to 874 of the family's 1478-position model. The record is from RNAcentral.